ACUUAAAAAGCUCUAAGAGCUUUGCGUUGAAGGUGCAAAGGUGUAAAUAUUACUUUAAGUA
This 61-nucleotide transfer RNA is filed under the name Cyamus boopis. Its description in RNAcentral is "tRNA-Phe". Lineage: Eukaryota; Metazoa; Arthropoda; Malacostraca; Amphipoda; Cyamidae. The record is from RNAcentral.